This 834-nucleotide ribosomal RNA is filed under the name Triticum aestivum (bread wheat). Its description in RNAcentral is "partial small subunit ribosomal RNA". Lineage: Eukaryota; Viridiplantae; Streptophyta; Magnoliopsida; Poales; Poaceae. The record is from RNAcentral.
AUGCCUCUAAGUCGUGCCUUGACAAUUGGGAGAUAUAGCCGCAUCGUGGGCGUUACACCGGUGUUCACAGGCCAUGUUUGGCGUGACCUCUUCAGGAUGGCAGGCGUCAAGCUCCGCCUGAGCACGGCCUUCCACCCGCAGACGGACGGCCAAUCCGAGGUGGUUAACAAGGUGAUUGCCAUGUAUUUGCGCUGUGUUACAGGUGAUUGCCCUCAGGCUUGGGUGGAUUGGCUCGCGUGGGCGGAGUACUGCUACAACACCUCCUAUCACUCCGCCCUGCAUGCUACACCAUUUGAGGUGGUCUACGGUCGGCCGCCUCCGCCUAUCUUGCCGGUGGACCCGGCAACAGCGCAGGCGGAGACCGCCGGUGAGCUUAUUCGCACCCGUGAUGAGAUGCUCGCUGAGGUCCGUCAGCGUCUCCUCCCGGCCCAGCAGCUGGCCAAGCAUUACUACGACGACAACCAUCGCGAGGCGGAGUUCGCGGUGGGUGAUUGGGUGUGGCUGCGUCUUCUCCACCACUCUACGCAGUCACUCGACCCGCGCGCGAAGCGCAAGCUCGGCCCUCGCUACGCCGGGCCCUUCGCCGUCUUGGAGCGCAUUGGACAGGUGGCCUAUCGCCUUCAGCUUCCGGCCGGUGCUCGCAUCCACGACGUUUUUCAUGUGGGGCUGCUCAAGCCUUUUCGUGGAGAGCCACCUGCCGCUCCACCCGCGCUUCCUCCAACCGCCGACGGACGUCUUCUUCCGGAGCCAGAGGUGUUGCGGGUGCAGCUCCGUCGCGGGGUGUGGUUCGUUCUGAUCCAGUGGGCGGGCCUUCCAGAGGAGGAGGCUACUUAG